UUGUUGGUAAGGUAAAAGCUUACCAAGGCUUCGAUCAGUAGCUGGUCUGAGAGGACGACCAGCCACACUGGGACUGAGACACGGCCCAGACUCCUACGGGAGGCAGCAGUGGGGAAUUUUGGACAAUGGGGGCAACCCUGAUCCAGCCAUGCCGCGUGAGUGAAGAAGGCCUUCGGGUUGUAAAGCUCUUUCAGCCGGAACGAAACGGUUACGGUUAACACCCGUGACUACUGACGGUACCGGAAGAAGAAGCACCGGCUAACUACGUGCCAGCAGCCGCGGUAAUACGUAGGGUGCGAGCGUUAAUCGGAAUUACUGGGCGUAAAGCGUGCGCAGGUGGUUUUGUAAGUCAGGUGUGAAAGCCCCGGGCUCAACCUGGGAACUGCGUUUGAAACUACAAGACUAGAGUGUGGCAGARGGGGGGUGGAAUUCCGCGUGUAGCAGUGAAAUGCGUAGAGAUGUGGAGGAACACCGAUGGCGAAGGCAGCCCCCUGGGUCAACACUGACGCUCAGGCACGAAAGCAUGGGGAGCAAACAGGAUUAGAUACCCUGGUAGUCCAUGCCCUAAACGAUGUCAACUAGUUGUCGGGCCUUUACGGGCUUGGUAACGUAGCUAACGCGUGAAGUUGACCGCCUGGGGAGUACGAUCGCAAGAUUAAAACUCAAAUGAAUUGACGGGGACCCGCACAAGCGGUGGAUUAUGUGGAUUAAUUCGAUGCAACGCGAAAAACCUUACCUACCCUUGACAUGUAUCGAAGCCCGCAGAAAAGCGGGGGUGCCCGAAAGGGAACGAUAACACAGGUGCUGCAUGGCUGUCGUCAGCUCGUGUCGUGAGAUGUUGGGUUAAGUCCCGCAACGAGCGCAACCCUUGUCAUUAAUUGCCAUCAUUUAGUUGGGCACUUUAAUGAGACUGCCGG
Molecule: ribosomal RNA, 917 nt
Filed under: uncultured bacterium
Lineage: Bacteria
Description: bacterial SSU rRNA
Rfam family: Bacterial small subunit ribosomal RNA
Source: RNAcentral